UAACCCAUUAAAAAAAUUUACUCCCAGGAACAGUUAAUAUUUGACGUUUAAUUGCUUUUCCUUGUUGGAGAGGAAAAUCUGUUUCUUUCCUUCCUUUCUUGAUUGACUUUUCAAAAAUCACCUUGUGAGCUAUAAAAAUGGAGAGGAGUAAUUGAUUUUCAAAAACUCAAGUGCACGCACCUGUAUUUGCAUAUGCGUCGUGCGUGCGUGUGUGUGUGUGUGUGUGUGUGUGUGGACAUAACAACCUCUGUGUACCAGGAACAGGGACUUCCCCCACAAUAACUGUGCAAGGCGGGUGUUACUAUUUCCCGUUAACGUGGAGGCAGCGGAGGCUCAGACCGGUUCACUGCUCGCAUUGGGUCACACGGGUAGUAAGCGAUAGGAGGCUGAGUCUUUAUUUCUCUAACCCUGGGGCCUGCCUGUAGGGGGGUUUCAUACCCAGCAGUGCAGGCAUCCAUGGAACCAGGCAAAAAGGCCAUGCCGACGAUCCCCAUCAUUGGAGUAACUAGUCUUCACUAGCCUGUUUAACUAACGCCAGGUUCUGGAAUUUAGCAAAGGGUGCCACACGCCAUCCAGAAGCGUCGAGAGAGUCCAGCUGUGACAUGUGCCCUACGCCAUUGUGACGGAGCCAGGAGAAGUGGCUGAAAGCUUAUAAGAGAUAGCAACCCAGGAGAGAUUUCUCCUUGGAGAGUUUUAUGGGGAUGAGCGGGGGUCAGAUGUCCCCUCAUUAGAAAAAUGCCCACGCAGGCUUCAGAUGAAGUUUUGGGGCUCCUCAGGACUGGUUUCAAGAGGAAGAAGGGGGUCACCAGGACGUUGGUGUGGAAAGGGUGAGGAGAAGCCUCUUUCUGGUUGCCUUGCGUUAGAAAAUUUCCAUUUCGACCUUGUCAAGCCCUCACCUUUCACGUGUGCUAAACUCACUAGCGAAGGCCAAAGGGUUCUCUUUCUCUCUUGUUUUCUUCCCACAAAACCAGGUAUUAUUUAGGUCUCUUGCAAAGCUGCACAGACCAACUGUCCCUCCUCAGAUUAUGCCUUCCAGAGCUCAGGCGAUAUGUCUCCUCGGGUUACACCUUCCAUGUUUUGUGGUCAGAUGUGGGCUGUGUCAUUGUGACUCCAACUUGCAAAGAAAAUAUUUCUAUAUGGGCCUCACCAGUCUCGUUUCCUCUGGGAUUGCUUCUGAGCAGGCUGUCUUCAUGCCAGGGGCGGGCAGUCGAAUCGCUGGCCUUCACGGGACCACUGGACAUCUGGCAGAAAACAGGAAGCCGUGACUUCGCUUAGCCGGAAAACUACGAGGUGUAUAAAGAGGACGGUUCACUGGAUUAUCUGAGGUCGGACUGCUGGGGUGAGAAUUGAACCCCAUCCUGGUUGACGACAGAGUUUACACUCUUAUCUUAUCAUUCCUCAUGACGUGUGGAUAAUUUUAUUUUUUAAUGCUUAUUGAUUUAUCUUGAGAGAAAAAGAGAGAGCACGCACCCAUGUGUACGCGGAUAAGGAGCGGAGAGAGAGAAUCCCAAGCAGCCUCCCACCGUCAGCACAGAGCCCUCUGUGGGGCUCGAUCCCACGAACCAUGAAAUCAUGACCUGAGCUGAAAUCAAAAGUCGGGACGCUUAAUCGACUGAGCCACCCACGCAUCCUUUAUGUGGAUAAUUUUAAGUAAAGAACAAAUAUUAGCCACCCAAGCCCCCCCCCCCCCACCAAGAGACCCUGGAAAGAAGCCCCCAAACUCCAAACCCCAAACAAGCCAGCACCAACACACACAAAUCUGACAAACUUUGCUCUUCUGGUAAUCACACUGAAAAGUACAUAGCAAAGCUUAGACCAAGAGAACGUGCCAAAGUUGAAAAAGCUCAUCGGCGACCAGCCAAUAACAUGCCAGAAUGUUCUUUGUCCCCCGACGUGGUGGGGGGUGUUGUUUCGCUGGUGCUCCAGACACCCCUACGGUUUCUUCCGAGCCUCGUCUACACCUGCGACACUAAGGUUUGUGAAGUCAGUCGAGUCUCAUGAAGAAUUUAGUUGCACUGUGUUGCCGUGAACGCUUGGAUUUGGACGCAAGGCUCACGACUGCCUUCUGGAUUUUCCAUGGUAGGGUGAAAAAAAAAAUGCACGACACACAUCACCAAGAAUCCAUGUCUGUGCCUGGCAGUGUAAUCGAGAAAAGCUUUGGAAUGUGAGUGGAUGGCAUUAUGAAUAGCUUUCCUUAGGGCACCUGCAGAAAGGCACUUCCAUUAGACACACCUUUGCCAAGCGCGUGUGCGUAAGGCACAGUGUUAGACGGAUGUGACAAAUGGGUGGGUGAUGCCUUUGUAGAAGAUUCUCCCAGGACUCUGAUGGGCUGAGGUUUAGAGAUGCCCAUACAGCCUCUGGGCGCUAAUAAGAUUACAGCCAGGGCCCGAUAUCAGCCCAUGAAAUAUUUUCAUCAUCAGGAUGAAGAAAAUUAUUUUGCACCGUUUCUGUUGUUCGGAAGUGGGAACAUUUUCGGGUGUGAAUCCCCCAAAGGACUUUCUGCGGACUCCCUACCUCUUAUCCGGGAUUGUGCAGUAUGGAGUCAGAAACGCCAUGGGAAGAAGUCGUUGGGCUGCCUUCUCCAGGAGCUUUCCCUGGGCGGUCGUCUCUGCCCAUGUUACGGAAGACGGCAAAAAUCCGAGCCAUCAUGCAUCUGGCCAAUUAUGCAAUGCUCCGUCGCGAGGGGAAAUUCCUUCCUCACCCCAGCUGGUGAACAGUUAUGCCCUGGAGCCCAGGACGGCCAUGCCUUGUAACUUUUUAACCUAGUUAGUGUAACUGCCAAUAUUAUUUCUAUUCAUAUAAAUGUCUAAUCCUUUCUUGAAUCUUGCUAGACUAUUUGCCUCAAUAAUACCCUGCGGCAGUGAAUUCCACAGGUAGAUUAUAUGCUGUUUUAAGAAGUAUUUCCGUUUUUUUUCAUUUUAAAUUUGUUACCUUUUAACGUCACAGGAUGGCCCUUGUUCUUGCAUGAAGGGGCCCGGGGUCCAGGCGUUUCAAGUUCUGCUUUAAUUUUUCCAAGCGCUUUGCCAUCAUUAGAACUCUGUCUUCGUCAGGUAUUUUCUGUUUUGGUGUAUCCGAUCUUGAUUAAAUGAGAUGAUUGAUGUGAA
Molecule: long non-coding RNA, 3104 nt
Organism: Neofelis nebulosa (Clouded leopard)
Lineage: Eukaryota; Metazoa; Chordata; Mammalia; Carnivora; Felidae
Exons: 3
Source: RefSeq, a predicted model, not a curated record